CUUCCAACAGGAACGUGGUGGAAGUCUCUUAAAUCAUGACUCUGCUUCUCUCCCUCAUCUCAUGUCACACUCACGUCUCUCCUGGCACCUAACAUGCCCUCCCACGUGAGAAAAAUGAGGUCAAAGGAUGGGAGCCAUGCCUAACUCAACUGCUCCCCACAGUGCUGAUCCCUCCCAGAUCAGACAGGAAGAACUACCGGACUGAGCACACGUGGUCCAGACAGUAGCUCCGGACCGGCUGGCCUGGGCUAGUGUUUUCGCUCUACUUGGGAGCUUGCAAUCCUUCCGCAACCGUUAAGAAUUUUUACAGAUAAAGCAGACUUUCCACUUGAAAGAAUCAAGUGCAGACAGACUAUGGUUACUCCGACGCACGUAUGUGGCAGACACGUUCUCAGAGAAGAACGAAGUGAGCCUGUCUCUUCAGGAAA
This is a long non-coding RNA of Herpailurus yagouaroundi (jaguarundi), 428 nucleotides long. RefSeq lists it as uncharacterized. The transcript has 4 exons. The record is from RefSeq and is a predicted model, not a curated record. NCBI's taxonomy places the organism in Eukaryota, Metazoa, Chordata, Mammalia, Carnivora, Felidae.